ACCUGCGGAAGGAUCAUUGUCGGGACCCUAACAAAAAUAGACUGUGAAUAUGUCAUCCAUGAUGUCGGGAGAUGGUCCUUGCACUGUUUCUUGUCAUAGGCCCUUCUCCUUCUGGAGGCGAGGGUCCUCAAAAGAACCCGGCGCCGGAUGGCGUCAAGGAACACUAAUAUUACGAGCAUGGGGCUAUGAUUGGCUUGCUUGUUGAGCCGUGUGCUGUGAUGCUACCUGAAUCCAUAAGACUCUCGGCAACGGAUAUCUUGGCUCUCGCAUCGAUGAAGAACGUAGCAAAAUGCGAUACCUGGUGUGAAUUGCAGAAUCCCGUGAACCAUCGAGUAUUUGAACGCAAGUUGCGCCUGAGGCCUCUUGGUCGAGGGCUCGUCCGCUUGGGCGUCACGUCAAAAGACACUCCCCCCUCACCAAGGCGUGGGAUGUGGUGCCUGGCCUUCCGUUCCACUUAAGAGGAGUGGUAGGCUAAAGUAAAGUGGCUGUUGGCUAUGGUGCCAGUCGCAGCACAUGGUGGACGACACAUGUUGUUCUCGUAGUUGCGACUUGUACUGCGUUCAGCGAUGUUGGCCAUUGGACCCAGAAAUCUAGCACUGGUUGCUUGCACUGAGACCCCAGGUCAGUCGGGAUUACCCGCUGAAUUUAAGCAUAUCAAUAAG
Molecule: ribosomal RNA, 662 nt
Filed under: Sporobolus kentrophyllus
Lineage: Eukaryota; Viridiplantae; Streptophyta; Magnoliopsida; Poales; Poaceae
Description: eukaryotic LSU rRNA
Rfam family: 5.8S ribosomal RNA (bases 238-393)
Source: RNAcentral